RNAcentral lists this ribosomal RNA (497 nucleotides) under uncultured bacterium. RNAcentral's name for it is "partial 16S ribosomal RNA". It matches the Rfam family "Bacterial small subunit ribosomal RNA", at positions 28 to 507 of the family's 1533-position model. The record is from RNAcentral.
GAUGAACGCCGGCGGCGUGCCUAAUACAUGCAAGUCGAGCGAACAGACGAGGAGCUUGCUCCUCUGACGUUAGCGGCGGACGGGUGAGUAACACGUGGAUAACCUACCUAUAAGACUGGGAUAACUUCGGGAAACCGGAGCUAAUACCGGAUAAUAUAUUGAACCGCAUGGUUCAAUAGUGAAAGACGGUUUUGCUGUCACUUAUAGAUGGAUCCGCGCCGCAUUAGCUAGUUGGUAAGGUAACGGCUUACCAAGGCAACGAUGCGUAGCCGACCUGAGAGGGUGAACGGCCACACUGGAAGUGAGACACGGUCCAGACUCCUACGGGAGGCAGCAGUAGGGAAUCUUCCGCAAUGGGCGAAAGCCUGACGGAGCAACGCCGCGUGAGUGAUGAAGGUCUUCGGAUCGUAAAACUCUGUUAUUAGGGAAGAACAAAUGUGUAAGUAACUAUGCGCGUCUUGACGGUACCUAAUCAGAAAGCCACGGCUAACUACGUG